UGGGGGUGUAGCUCAGUCGGUCUAGAGCAGUCGCCUGUCGAGCGAAAGGUCGCGGGUUCAAAUCCCGUCUCCCCCGU
RNAcentral lists this transfer RNA (77 nucleotides) under Acaryochloris marina MBIC10699. Its description in RNAcentral is "tRNA-Asp". It matches the Rfam family "tRNA". From Rfam's summary of the family: Transfer RNA (tRNA) molecules are approximately 80 nucleotides in length. The record is from RNAcentral. Lineage: Bacteria; Bacillati; Cyanobacteriota; Cyanophyceae; Acaryochloridales; Acaryochloridaceae.